Brienomyrus brachyistius is the source of this 2456-nucleotide long non-coding RNA. RefSeq lists it as uncharacterized. The transcript has 3 exons. The record is from RefSeq and is a predicted model, not a curated record. NCBI's taxonomy places the organism in Eukaryota, Metazoa, Chordata, Actinopteri, Osteoglossiformes, Mormyridae.
UAAAAAUAGGCAGCGGGUCCAAAGACUUUCGGCAGGAUUGAGAAUCUCCAGUGACCCAUUCCAGUUCACCUGCUGCUGCUACGGACAGCGACUCAGCUAGCAGCCCGUCUGUGACACUGCAGGAGAAAACCAGAGAGCCAUAAGCAAUGCAAGAAGAAGUGAGACAUGAGCACUGACGUUAAAGAGGAAGGUAAUGAGUCACCUAUAGACAUUAUCGUGCCCAGUGACAGAUGAGCUGGACAGGGAACAUCAAGGUAAACCGAGACAGACCUUUAAAAAGUCCUUGUUUGAAUGUAGAUAUAUUUAUACUGUAAUUCCAUUAUUAUGACUAUAAUACCACUUGUCUAACAUUUGGUGUGAAUUUUCCCCAGGGAACCUGGAAUAAGCUUCAGUCCUCACAACCCUACAAGUCCAGUCCAUGCUGCCCCAACAAGCCUAAUCUUUUCAGCCUAACUCACCUGUCUGAUAUUCAUUCCUCUUUCCUUCGUGUUUCCUUACUGUUAGGUGCCGGCAUAGUCCUUUCCUGUCCAGGUUCCCCCCUGAAAAGGGCCGUUUUCUCCAUGCAGUUUCCCUUCCCUUCCCAGGCUCGUGUCAUGUGAUUUUGUUGGCGGUCCUAACGGAGACCGUUUCAUGGCACUCUGCUCAUCGACGACUUUUAAACGUCCAGUUUCAGCCUAUUCAUUGUUGAUCUCGGUCAUCUUGCCGUCUUUGAGAGCGAGAGCUGUGGUUUAUGAGGUUUAGCUGGUCGCAAGCCUAUAUUUGCACCCCCAGCAUCUACAUAUAUACACACAUACACGUGUGAAUGCCAAGGACAAGAAGAAGACUGCUAAUCUUCACAUUCAGUCAUACGUUAGUCAGUAAUUACUCGCGGCUCACUACAACUAAGAUAAAAGCCAGGACUGAAUAUGUGAGCCCAAAACUGGAAUUGUAAAUACUGACACAGGGGCUCUUACAGCUUCCUCUGCUGCCAUGUUGGGCCGUUCAGGAGAAGUACCCAAAAUCCGAUAACAAAGAUAACAAACAAUUAUAAAGCCAUUCAAAGCACGAAUGAAAAUGCUGCAGAAAGUUUUUAAUGUAAAUGCAUUAACAAACACACUGGACAUUUCCUUUACAGCCAGCUUGUGAGGUUUUGGGGAUGCAUACACAUUUCUGUUACUUGCAUCAUCUGUCUCUCUUGCCUUUGAAUGAGUGCUGUUUUAGUGUAGAUGCACCGUAUACAAGGCAAAUGCAGUUUCUCCUCUUUGUGAACAGCAAGGUCUUCUUUCUGCAUCACAAUCUAAGACAUGGUCGAUGCAUAAUUCUCGUCCAACACCAAUGUCUCAGUUAGACUGCGGAGGCUUCCGUGCUGCUUGGACCCUCUUCGAUUUAUCAGAGCUUGUUACAGUGGAUGGGGGUCAGUAGGUUUGACUUUUCUUUUCGCAAGCGUUUGCGUAUGUCUAGAUACCGUAGACAUGAAUCCGGGAUAGUGUUUGAUGUUCGCAAGGGGACCAAAAAUUCCACAUCCUGCUUUCACUAUGUAUUGUCACGUGAAUCGGUUGUACACGUAACUCAUAAUUUUGUCUGCCUACAGGAUACCAACAAACCGCUUAUUCAAAAAUGCCAGCAUAGAACAUGUGCAAUGCUGGUCUUGCCAAUUUUGACUGAGGGGGCACUGCCCCCCCAUAAACUCCGCCCACUGUAACCAAACUCCGCCCACUAUAACCAAACUCCGCCCACUGUAACCAAACCCCGCCCACCCUAACCAAUCAGAUGCUCAUAAACCUAAAGACCAGCAUAUUUAGAGAGUAAGUUGUUUGCGCAAAUAUGAUUAAUUAGCGCAGGACUAUGAGACUGUCUUUCGGUGGCUGUCUCAGAUUACCAGUUUGAUGGACCUCCCACGAGUUCACCAGAAUCAGAAUUCUUAUCGUCAAGCAACCCAGGCUGGUGGAAAUCUUUGUUGGCAAACUUGCUACUUUUGCAGACACUAUGACAAUAGACCACUAGGUGACCUGGUUUUUGACCCAGCCAUACACUGUAAACUGCGGGUCCCUAUCAAUCACAGCCAGUUGAGUGAAUCACUCACAGACGCAGUGCAACCAUGUUCUAGAGAUGUUUCAGAGACAACAAAAGGAAAUAGGGUGCAUCUGAGUAAAGGGUCUGAAUAUCUAUGUAACGGCAUUUCAGUUUUUGGAAAAAGUCUGGAUAUUGUUCAGUGGCUUGCAGUGUGCCCACAUAAACGUUCUUACAGAGCGGUGCAAAUGUUUAACAGUGACAGUACCUAUAUUUUUACAUUAAACCCCGACAAAAUAAGGACGCUUAUUCUUGUCUUCGGCUCCUUUAUCUUCAUCUUGUCUCUGAAACUGCAGAGUAAUCGCACUCUUCACGUUGGGCUGCCAGUAAGUAAUAAGUAUUAACUAAGAAAUGAGACUCACAGACAAAUGCCACGUACUCCGGUCUCAGAAAAGGAACUUACUGUG